CCUACGGGUCGCACCAGUGGGGAAUAUUGCACAAUGGGCGCAAGCCUGAUGCAGCCAUGCCGCGUGUGUGAAGAAGGCCUUCGGGUUGUAAAGCACUUUCAGCGGGGAGGAAGGCGUUAAGGUUAAUAACCUUAGCGAUUGACGUUACCCGCAGAAGAAGCACCGGCUAACUCCGUGCCAGCAGCCGCGGUAAUACGGAGGGUGCAAGCGUUAAUCGGAACUACUGGGCGUAAAGCGCACGCAGGUGGUCUGUCAAGUCGGAUGUGAAAUCCCCGGGCUCAACCUGGGAACUGCAUUCGAAACUGGCAGGCUAGAGUCUUGUAGAGGGGGGUAGAAUUCCAGGUGUAGCGGUGAAAUGCGUAGAGACCUGGAGGAAUACCGGUGGCGAAGGCGGCCCCCUGGACAAAGACUGACGCUCAGGGGCGAAAGCGUGGGGGGCAAACAGGAUUAGAUACCCGAGUAGUC
Molecule: ribosomal RNA, 465 nt
Filed under: uncultured bacterium
Lineage: Bacteria
Description: bacterial SSU rRNA
Rfam family: Bacterial small subunit ribosomal RNA
Source: RNAcentral